RNAcentral lists this ribosomal RNA (301 nucleotides) under uncultured bacterium. RNAcentral's name for it is "partial 16S ribosomal RNA". It matches the Rfam family "Bacterial small subunit ribosomal RNA", at positions 509 to 807 of the family's 1533-position model. The record is from RNAcentral.
CAGUCGCCGCGGGAAUACGAGGGGGGCAAGCGUUGUUCGGAAUUAUUGGGCGUAAAGGGUGCGUAGGCGGUUUGAUAAGUCAUCUGUGAAAUCCCCGGGCUUAACCUGGGAACUGCAUUUGUGACUGGCGAGCUAGAGUAUGGCAGAGGGGGGUAGAAUUCCACGUGUAGCAGUGAAAUGCGUAGGGAUGUGGAGGAAUACCGAUGGCGAAGGCAGCCCCCUGGGCCAAUACUGACGCUCAUGCACGAAAGCGUGGGGAGCAAACAGGAUUAGAUACCCCUGUAGUCCCUGUCUCUUAUAC